AAAGUACAUUAAAAAACUCUUGAUGGACCUUAAGGGAGAGAUUGAUAACAAUACAGUCAUAGUGGGGGACUGCAACAGCACCCCAAUG
Myotis brandtii (Brandt's bat) is the source of this 88-nucleotide long non-coding RNA. RefSeq lists it as uncharacterized. The transcript has 3 exons. Lineage: Eukaryota; Metazoa; Chordata; Mammalia; Chiroptera; Vespertilionidae. The record is from RefSeq and is a predicted model, not a curated record.